CCUACGGGCGGCAGCAGUGGGGAAUAUUGCACAAUGGGGGAAACCCUGAUGCAGCGACGCCGCGUGAGUGAAGAAGUAAUUCGUUAUGUAAAGCUCUAUCAGCAGGGAAGAAAAUGACGGUACCUGCGUAAGACGCCCCGGCUAACUACGUGCCAGCAGCCGCGGUAAUACGUAGGGGGCAAGCGUUAUCCGGAUUUACUGGGUGUAAAGGGAGCGUAGACGGCAGAGCAAGUCUGAAGUGAAAGGCGAGGGCUCAACCCCCGGACUGCACUGGAAACUGUAAGGCUGGAGUGCAGGAGAGGUAGGUGGAAUUCCUGGUGUAGGGGUAAAAUGCGUAGAUAUUAGGAGGAAUACCAGUGGCGAAGGCGACUUACUGGACUGUAACUGACGUUGAGGCUCGAAAGCGUGGGGAGCAAACAGGAUUAGAUACCCGUGUAGUC
This 440-nucleotide ribosomal RNA is filed under the name uncultured bacterium. Its description in RNAcentral is "partial 16S ribosomal RNA". It matches the Rfam family "Bacterial small subunit ribosomal RNA", at positions 338 to 795 of the family's 1533-position model. The record is from RNAcentral.